Molecule: long non-coding RNA, 805 nt
Organism: Triplophysa dalaica
Lineage: Eukaryota; Metazoa; Chordata; Actinopteri; Cypriniformes; Nemacheilidae
Exons: 3
Source: RefSeq, a predicted model, not a curated record
GGCAAGUUUUUAUUCAGUGAAAAACAAAUUAGGGAGGGCAGGAAUAAGAAGAGGAUCACCAUUCCAGACAAAUACUGCACUCCUCGGGAGUUUUCGGACCAUCUCUAUCAGCAUUUCCCUAUGUUGAAAGAUUGUGGUGUUUUCCAGCUCUUGCGUUCCAGAGGAUCAACACGUUCCAAAAAAUUUGAGAAAUUACCCUGUCCAGAUGAUGGGUAUUCCCCUGAGUACCUCUUAAGUAAGUCUGUCAUGGUUGGGCAGGCUCUCAUAUAUAUCAGGCCAAGAUAUAGAUCUGCAGGUAGGUAGAAAAAGGUUAAAAUAUCUGGUAAGUAAUAAUACUCUGGAUGUUGAGAAAGUUUAAACCAGCAAGUGAUACACUAGUUUUAAAUAAAGUGAUUUAGGAUACCCCUAAAUUCAUAUUUUUUGUAUAAGCUAACCUUACUAUCUAUCUGCUAAAGUGACUUGUUAAACUUAUUGUUAUGUUCUUACAAUGAUUCAGACUCUUGAGAGUGACCAGCCUAUAUCCUCUGGACCACUGACAGAAUGCUUUUACUGCACUGAGAAGUAUAGCCUGUCAGAAAUACAAGACCAUGUUGAUGUUUGCGAAAAACAUUCCACCUCUUUGUCUCUCGCUCUUCAAAAUUCCUGGGAUUUGGGAUUGACUGGGAUUGUCAGACAAAGUGAUAUCAGAUAGCACUGGCAGUACAAGACAAGAAGAAAUGGCAGCAACCAUGUCAGAGGAUAAUGCUGAAAGGGAGGAAAGGGCCUCAACAUCACUCAAUACUGUUUUCUCAGCCAGUAACCAGCC